This 107-nucleotide small nuclear RNA is filed under the name Procavia capensis (Cape rock hyrax). Lineage: Eukaryota; Metazoa; Chordata; Mammalia; Hyracoidea; Procaviidae. The record is from RNAcentral.
AUGCUCGCUUCGGUAGCACACACACUAACAUGGGAGCAAUACAGAGAAAAUUAGCAUGGCUCUUGCGUGAGAAUGGGGUGCAAGUUCAUGAAGCAUUCCACAAUUUU